UGUUCCUGAGGCCAUAGCCCCCAGAAGUCUUCUGAAAGUGAUGGUGGCAAUUCAGGAGAAGAAAGUGUUAUUUCCUUUUUGUAUUUUCACUUGAAAAAAAACUGAGAAGAGUGUGACUAGUCGAUGAUAUUUUGACCAUACAGCUGUUGAGCACUUCUGAGGAAGAGGAACAUGGAAGAGACAUUUGUUGAGUACCUAUUACAUGCCAGGCAAUUCCCAUACAUAUUUUACUUAAUCUUCACAACCGCCCAGAGAAAGAGAUCUCUUUUAUCCUUAUUUUAUGGACAUGACAAAACUGAAUAGAAGGCCCUAGUUUACAAACUCCAGGGGCUCCGCUCCAUUUGCUAUCAGCUAAGCAGACUUGGAGCGUGGACCCCUAUUUCUGCUUCUCCCGGGACACUGUAAAUCUCUCCAUUUGCCAUCAGUCUGGAGCUGUGAGCAUGCAGAUGAAAGGCGUUGUGGAUCUGUGAACUACCGUAGCUCUACCUUCGGAGGAACUGACUUUCAGCUUUCAGCCACAUGCAUGAGAGGGGCUGAUUCCAUCUGUCGACCUGUCA
Molecule: long non-coding RNA, 557 nt
Filed under: Homo sapiens (human)
Lineage: Eukaryota; Metazoa; Chordata; Mammalia; Primates; Hominidae
Description: HSALNT0013578
Source: RNAcentral